GUCUGGUAAUGAUGGCAGAGAGGUCACACCCGUUCCCAUACCGAACACGGAAGUUAAGCUCUCUAGCGCCGAUGGUAGUUGGGGCCUUGCCCCUGUGAGAGUAGGACGUUGCCAGGC
RNAcentral lists this ribosomal RNA (117 nucleotides) under Bacillus pseudomycoides. The record is from RNAcentral. Lineage: Bacteria; Bacillati; Bacillota; Bacilli; Caryophanales; Bacillaceae.